UCCUGAAAGUUAUGGAAAGGAGAUUAUUGGCAUGGUGUUUGGCCCACUGAGCCACUAUUAUCAACGUGAAUAAGGAGAUCUUAAUUUAGUUAAGAAAUAUACAUCUUUUGUUUCUUGACGAGUCAUUUGAGCAUCCUUUCUUCUUCAUUUCUUUUUUAAUUAUUUUUUUUUUUUUUUUUUCGGAGGAUGGAAUUUGCAGGAACCUGCUUGAGUAAUUGCUAUACUUCCUAUGUAAAGACUUUGAACUGACAGUUGUUGGGCUGGGAUUUUGCAUGCUAAGGGCUAUUAAAUGGGAUUUCUAUCAGAAGCAGUGAUUCUUCAUUCUAAAGAUAUUCAGAGGACGAUGAAAUGUGAAAAUUUGUAUCCGGAAGAAGGAAAGUUAGUAUAUCAGUUGUCUUGCUGCUGCAAAAGGUUAAUGGGUACUCAAUGAAAAUGAAGAUCUGAAUACUGAUGCUGUGAAGUUUUUUGCAUAUGUCAGACCAACCUUCUCAUCAAGCUUAUUACUUAUUAAAGCCCUCAAGUAAUUUGGUCAAUCAUUGUUUUGCUUUUCCUCGAUUCUACUAUUCCCAAUAAUUUCACAUU
Juglans microcarpa x Juglans regia is the source of this 582-nucleotide long non-coding RNA. RefSeq lists it as uncharacterized. The record is from RefSeq and is a predicted model, not a curated record. The transcript has 2 exons. Lineage: Eukaryota; Viridiplantae; Streptophyta; Magnoliopsida; Fagales; Juglandaceae.